ACACAACUGGGACCGAGCAGUUCUCCCGGAUGGACCGGCUCACUUUUCUAUUUGCUCCUCAGCGUCGGAGGCUUUAGGGUUGGUCUGCAGGGUGUCGCCUUUGCCGGUCACAUGGAUGUCACACUUCAGUUUCAGACAUCUCUGUGAAAUUACCAAGGAGAUUGACCAAGGAGAAACAAUAAAAAGAAGUUAUGGACAAGAGAGAUAUUUAAUAUUAAGAAAAUGACUAAAUUUCAGAGUGGAAGAAAUUAUCUUCUUCAAGUAAGAAAGCUGAAGACUAAAGAACUUGAAAGCUUAGAAAAACACAGCCAUUUUACCUUCCAAGACAGUCCUCCUAGUCAGUCAAUGAUUAAAUUUCAGCGUGUGGCUCCUCACUGGCCAACUUUCAAUGCUUGUG
Molecule: long non-coding RNA, 397 nt
Filed under: Heterocephalus glaber (naked mole-rat)
Lineage: Eukaryota; Metazoa; Chordata; Mammalia; Rodentia; Bathyergidae
Description: lncRNA (ENSHGLG00100048189.1)
Source: RNAcentral